Molecule: long non-coding RNA, 258 nt
Organism: Zingiber officinale
Lineage: Eukaryota; Viridiplantae; Streptophyta; Magnoliopsida; Zingiberales; Zingiberaceae
Exons: 2
Source: RefSeq, a predicted model, not a curated record
GCAACACAUACAUCCACUAAAAUAUUAGUUACAGCAAUGGAAGAGUGCACAGGGAAAAGUUCAUGGCCGGAAUUGGUAGGAGUAAAUGGAAACAAGGCGGUGACUAUUAUUGAAAAGGAGAAUCCGAACGUAGAAGCUAUUACUGUGUUGAUUGGAAGCGCUACCACCAAAGACUUCCGCUGUGACAGGGUGCGGGUGUGGGUCGACGAGUAUGGCAUUGUCGGAGAGGUUCCUCACAUCGGCUAGAUGGAUGUUAAA